RNAcentral lists this unclassified non-coding RNA (532 nucleotides) under uncultured fungus. RNAcentral's name for it is "sequence contains 18S rRNA gene, ITS1, 5.8S rRNA gene, ITS2, 28S rRNA gene". The record is from RNAcentral. Lineage: Eukaryota; Fungi.
CCGUAUGACGUCAGCACGGAUACGCGCAGGGAGCGGCGCUCAACGCGGUGAAAGUCUGAACUCCUGAAAAACUGAUUCCUGCUGGCUCGCGCAGGCCCGCAGGCUCCAAGCUUCCCACUCCGCCGACCUCGUGCCACGGCCGGUCACCCCGAAGGAGCGUCGUCGUCGCCGACGAGGGUCACCGGUAUCGGACGCUGCGGGGCCACGUAAGGCUAUGCUCACGGCCAACGUGCUGUUGACCGUGCUGCGCGGCCGCGAGACGCGUCGGACCCCCCAUAGCGCAACCGAUACUCGGAACUCCCAGACGACGCCGAUCGAGGGCACGAGGGGCAGGGACUCGAGUGGCGCAACGUCGAGGUAGGGAUCGGGUGCCUCGACCUCGAUCCCGUACAGCCAUCGACGACCAGCGUAGCGAUCGUGAACCUGCGCCGGUCGUCCAGGAUGCCGCUGCCCACGCCCGGCAGGACGGCGAGUCCCGUGCGUUCACUGGGGAGCCGGCCAUGCGCGACCUGCACUGGUACCCCGGCGUGUU